Zingiber officinale is the source of this 1364-nucleotide RNA transcript. RefSeq lists it as uncharacterized. The record is from RefSeq and is a predicted model, not a curated record. Lineage: Eukaryota; Viridiplantae; Streptophyta; Magnoliopsida; Zingiberales; Zingiberaceae. The transcript is spliced from 4 exons.
UCCCAACUCCUAUCUUCCGAUCGUUUUUAUCCCGAACCCUUCUCCCAACUCCUCAUCUCACGCGGCCUUCUCCAUCCAACUCCUCUCUGGCGAACCACUCCUCCGAACUCCUCUCCGUCAAGACCACACCUUCGUCAAGCGGUAGAUCCUGGUGCUAAGGCGAUCGAUCACGACAGAUCGACUCAUCUCUUCGCCUCCUUCACCCCCGACGUUGAGGCGGUGACUGGUAUAAGGAGGACAAGAUGAGCGUGUGUCCAGUGCUAGCCUCGGACACCCAUGGCAACCUGGACGAACAGAUCACGCAGCUCAUGCAGUGCAAGCCGCUCGCCGAACAGGAGGAUACAUCUCGCCCUUUCCCUCGCUUAUUUUCGUCCGAUCGCUCCUUCAAUUUAUUCCUUCUCUGGUCAAGAUGUUUGUUUUGGGGGUUUUCUGCUCGAUUCAUGUGUAUUCUUUAUAGAUCUGAGGUUGAGUGGGUAUUUAGCAAUUUACAGAUCUGCGAUGCGUAUUCAUGCAUACCUCUCUUCCUUCCUUGCAAAAUUUCCAUUUUUUUUAACGUUCUUCCAUGAUCUUAUCACUGCCUGUGGAUGCGAGGGGCAGGCCCCGAUCGAGCCCAACAAGCAGAUUUCCUCCAUGGUAGAGGAGGCAGCGAGGUUAGCUAGGCAUUUCUGCGAGAUGGAGUGGCCUGUGCUCGUCUUCCUCGAUUCCCACCACCCAAACAAGCCUGAGCCUCCUUAUCCGCCUCACUGCGUUGUGGGAUCAGGGGAGGAGGAUCUGGUUCCAGUUUUGCAGUUUUAUGGUUGUAUAGCAGAUGAGUUGAGCUAGAGCAUUUAAAGAGGAGGAUUCCGUUGUCAUGUAUAAAGUUGGUGAGCUUAACAUGCCUGUUGGGUUUCUAUUCUUUCACAAAGCUUUCAUAUUGAGCCGCAGGAGGCAAGCAGGAAGAAAUCAAACGCCCUGUUGAUGGACCAGCCGCAGGAGGCAAGCUUCCAGAUGACAUUGUGAUUGGGUUUCUAGUUACAUGCAUUAAUUGUUUGUUCUAUUAACAAGGAAUAGAGGUUAGGGUGCUUUGUGAAAAAGCUAAGGAGGUUUUAAUGGAAGAAAGCAAUGUUCAGACCAACUGUUCAAUCUGUUCAAAGCUCACAAAGAUCCUAGACAAAAUCCAAUUGCUUAUUCCUGUAAUAGAUUGAGAAAGACAAGCUACUUCUUCAGUAUUGUGGUAGUAAUUACUGUACUGUUUUGUUCCGUUUUCAAGCCGAAAAUAAUUUUUGAGUGUAGCUAGUAGAAGUAAACAGAUUGUUGGCUUCGAGGUCGGCUAGUUAUUUUGUGCUCUUUUGUUUUAUUUGUGAAUAUCACUAUCUACUUUGAAA